This 482-nucleotide ribosomal RNA is filed under the name uncultured bacterium. Its description in RNAcentral is "bacterial SSU rRNA". It matches the Rfam family "Bacterial small subunit ribosomal RNA", at positions 29 to 506 of the family's 1533-position model. The record is from RNAcentral.
UUGAACGCUGGCGGCAUGCCUUACACAUGCAAGUCGAACGGCAGCACGGGGGCAACCCUGGUGGCGAGUGGCGAACGGGUGAGUAAUACAUCGGAACGUGUCCUGUAGUGGGGGAUAGCCCGGCGAAAGCCGGAUUAAUACCGCAUACGAUCUACGGAAGAAAGCGGGGGAUCGCAAGACCUCGCGCUAUAGGGGCGGCCGAUGGCAGAUUAGCUAGUUGGUGGGGUAAAGGCCUACCAAGGCGACGAUCUGUAGCUGGUCUGAGAGGACGACCAGCCACACUGGGACUGAGACACGGCCCAGACUCCUACGGGAGGCAGCAGUGGGGAAUUUUGGACAAUGGGGGAAACCCUGAUCCAGCAAUGCCGCGUGUGUGAAGAAGGCCUUCGGGUUGUAAAGCACUUUUGUCCGGAAAGAAAACCUUUGCACUAAUACUGUGAGGGGAUGACGGUACCGGAAGAAUAAGCACCGGCUAACUACGU